GACGAACGCUGGCGGCGUGCUUAACACAUGCAAGUCGAACGGAAAGGCCCUGCUUUUGUGGGGUGCUCGAGUGGCGAACGGGUGAGUAACACGUGAGUAACCUGCCCUUGACUUUGGGAUAACUUCAGGAAACUGGGGCUAAUACCGGAUAGGAGCUCCUGCUGCAUGGUGGGGGUUGGAAAGUUUCGGCGGUUGGGGAUGGACUCGCGGCUUAUCAGCUUGUUGGUGGGGUAGUGGCUUACCAAGGCUUUGACGGGUAGCCGGCCUGAGAGGGUGACCGGCCACAUUGGGACUGAGAUACGGCCCAGACUCCUACGGGAGGCGGCAGUGGGGAAUAUUGCACAAUGGGCGGAAGCCUGAUGCAGCAACGCCGCGUGCGGGAUGACGGCCUUCGGGUUGUAAACCGCUUUCGCCUGUGACGAAGCGUGAGUGACGGUAAUGGGUAAAGAAGCACCGGCUCACUACGUGCCAGCAGCCGCGGUGAUACGUAGGGUGCGAGCGUUGUCCGGAUUUAUUGGGCGUAAAGGGCUCGUAGGUGGUUGAUCGCGUCGGAAGUGUAAUCUUGGGGCUUAACCCUGAGCGUGCUUUCGAUACGGGUUGACUUGAGGAAGGUAGGGGAGAAUGGAAUUCCUGGUGGAGCGGUGGAAUGCGCAGAUAUCAGGAGGAACACCAGUGGCGAAGGCGGUUCUCUGGGCCUUUCCUGACGCUGAGGAGCGAAAGCGUGGGGAGCGAACAGGCUUAGAUACCCUGGUAGUCCACGCUGUAAACGGUGGGUACUAGGUGUGGGGUCCAUUCCACGGGUUCCGUGCCGUAGCUAACGCUUUAAGUACCCCGCCUGGGGAGUACGGCCGCAAGGCUAAAACUCAAAGGAAUUGACGGGGCCCCGCACAAGCGGCGGAGCAUGCGGAUUAAUUCGAUGCAACGCGUAGAACCUUACCUGGGUUUGACAUGGAUCGGGAGUGCUCAGAGAUGGGUGUGCCUCUUUUGGGGUCGGUUCACAGGUGGUGCAUGCCUGUCGUCAGCUCGUGUCGUGAGAUGUUGGGUUAAGUCCCGCAACGAGCGCAACCCUUGUUCACUGUUGCCAGCACGUUAUGGUGGGGACUCAGUGGAGACCGCCGGGGUCAACUCGGAGGAAGGUGGGGAUGACGUCAAGUCCUCAUGCCCCUUAUGUCCAGGGCUUCACGCAUGCUACAAUGGCUGGUACAGAGAGUGGCGAGCCUGUGAGGGUGAGCGAAUCUCGGAAAGCCGGUCUCAGUUCGGAUUGGGGUCUGCAACUCGACCUCAUGAAGUCGGAGCCGCUAGUAAUCGCAGAUCAGCAACGCUGCGGUGAAUACGUUCCCGGGGCU
RNAcentral lists this ribosomal RNA (1346 nucleotides) under uncultured bacterium. RNAcentral's name for it is "bacterial SSU rRNA". It matches the Rfam family "Bacterial small subunit ribosomal RNA", at positions 28 to 1381 of the family's 1533-position model. The record is from RNAcentral.